RNAcentral lists this ribosomal RNA (496 nucleotides) under uncultured bacterium. RNAcentral's name for it is "partial 16S ribosomal RNA". It matches the Rfam family "Bacterial small subunit ribosomal RNA", at positions 28 to 507 of the family's 1533-position model. The record is from RNAcentral.
GAUGAACGCUGGCGGUGUGCCUAAUACAUGCCAGUCGAGCGAACAGACGAGGAGCUUACUCCUCUGACGUUAGCGGCGGACGGGUGAGUAACACGUGGAUAACCUACCUAUAAGACUGGGAUAACUUCGGGAAACCGGAGCUAAUACCGGAUAACAUGUUGAACCGCAUGGUUCAACAGUGAAAGACGGUCUUGCUGUCACUUAUAGAUGGAUCCGCGUCGCAUUAGCUAGUUGGUAAGGUAACGGCUUACCAAGGCAACGAUGCGUAGCCGACCUGAGAGGGUGAUCGGCCACACUGGAACUGAGACACGGUCCAGACUCCUACGGGAGGCAGCAGUAGGGAAUCUUCCGCAAUGGGCGAAGCCUGACGGAGCAACGCCGCGUGAGUGAAGAAGGUCUUCGGAUCGUAAAACUCUGUUAUUAGGGAAGAACAAAUGUGUAAGUAACUAUGCACGUCUUGACGGUACCUAAUCAGAAAGCCACGGCUAACUACGUG